This 644-nucleotide ribosomal RNA is filed under the name uncultured Lachnospiraceae bacterium. RNAcentral describes it as "bacterial SSU rRNA". It matches the Rfam family "Bacterial small subunit ribosomal RNA", at positions 95 to 759 of the family's 1533-position model. Lineage: Bacteria; Bacillati; Bacillota; Clostridia; Lachnospirales; Lachnospiraceae. The record is from RNAcentral.
GUGGCGGACGGGUGAGUAACGCGUGGGUAACCUGCCUCAUACAGGGGGAUAACAGUUAGAAAUGACUGCUAAUACCGCAUAAGACCACAAAGCCGCAUGGCUUAGUGGGAAAAACUCCGGUGGUAUGAGAUGGACCCGCGUCUGAUUAGGUAGUUGGUGGGGUAACGGCCUACCAAGCCGACGAUCAGUAGCCGACCUGAGAGGGUGACCGGCCACAUUGGGACUGAGACACGGCCCAAACUCCUACGGGAGGCAGCAGUGGGGAAUAUUGCACAAUGGGGGAAACCCUGAUGCAGCGACGCCGCGUGAGCGAAGAAGUAUUUCGGUAUGUAAAGCUCUAUCAGCAGGGAAGAAAAUGACGGUACCUGACUAAGAAGCACCGGCUAAAUACGUGCCAGCAGCCGCGGUAAUACGUAUGGUGCAAGCGUUAUCCGGAUUUACUGGGUGUAAAGGGAGCGCAGCGGUGCGGCAGUCUGAUGUGAAAGCCCGGGGCUCAACCCCGGUACUGCAUUGGAAACUGUCGUACUAGAGUGUCGGAGGGGUAAGUGGAAUUCCUAGUGUAGCGGUGAAAUGCGUAGAUAUUAGGAGGAACACCAGUGGCGAAGGCGGCUUACUGGACGAUAACUGACGCUGAGGCUCGAAAG